GUAAAAUCCGGACUGGCGGGCGGGGGAAUAGGGGGGGUGGAAGGGUUAAUCGGAAGUACUGGGGGGAAAGUGCACGCAGGCGGUUGGAUAAGUUAGAUGUGAAAGCCCCGGGCUCAACCUGGGAAUUGCAUUUAAAACUGUCCAGCUAGAGUCUUGUAGAGGGGGGUAGAAUUCCAGGUGUAGCGGUGAAAUGCGUAGAGAUCUGGAGGAAUACCGGUGGCGAAGGCGGCCCCCUGGACAAAGACUGACGCUCAGGUGCGAAAGCGUGGGGAGCAAACAGGAUUAGAUACCCCGGUAGUC
Molecule: ribosomal RNA, 300 nt
Filed under: uncultured Desulfovibrio sp.
Lineage: Bacteria; Pseudomonadati; Thermodesulfobacteriota; Desulfovibrionia; Desulfovibrionales; Desulfovibrionaceae
Description: partial 16S ribosomal RNA
Rfam family: Bacterial small subunit ribosomal RNA
Source: RNAcentral